UGUAGCUGUCGCUGAGAGUAUUGUUUAUUCAUUUAUUUUUUGUUGUUUUGAUGGUUUUGUGUAUGGAUGCUUUUGUUUAUGUAGUUGACGAUGUAUAUUGAGUUGUGAUUAUGAUGACCCCUGCUGGUCAUGUGAUGGGCGCACUGAAUGGUGGGAAAAAUGUGCAGUCUGUUUUUUUUUGGAGCUACGAUAUAUGAGCGGAGUUCGAGUUUGGCAGCUCCUGAUUUUCUGGUUGGAAGGCGCACACGUUUUUCACGGUGUUUGGUUCAGUUUGGAAAAGAUAGACAAUAAAGCUCAAUCAAACAUC
Molecule: long non-coding RNA, 307 nt
Organism: Solea senegalensis (Senegalese sole)
Lineage: Eukaryota; Metazoa; Chordata; Actinopteri; Pleuronectiformes; Soleidae
Exons: 2
Source: RefSeq, a predicted model, not a curated record